GUUUGAAGCUGAGCCUUACGGAAAGUCCAUUCUCGGGCCGGCGGCUCCCAGGCUGGCAGCAAAGACCUCCCCUGAUAGGGGCAGGAGAGCACAACCCAGAGGCCCGACCGACGGGUUCUACCCCAGCACCUCCCUGGUGGGGCGCGGAAUUUGGCUCCGCGUCGCCAUCUCGUGGCCUUAUGGAGCAGCGCCUGCCUGGUAACUGGGGAUGUCGCAAGGCGGGAAGCGACCGAGGCACGCGAAGCCCUCAGGAGUGAUUGGCUUCCGAGACCCCGCCCCCUUGUUAGGGAGGUCCUGGAGCUGGGACUGCGGUUACCAUGGCAACGGUUGAGCAGGCCCAGUCCCUUCCUCUGGCCACCCAGAAUCCUGCUCAGGACCUCGCCGGAGACCGGGAUGUGGACACCAGCGUUCCUUUUCAUCCUCCUUGCUGAAUAACCUGUGUAGAUGAAGAUGCUGCCUCCCAAAGCAGCAAGGCCUUCACCAACCAAUGAGCCUGCAUACGUACUGUAUGCAGGCGACACCAGCUUUGGAGAAAGAAAUGCAUAAAAUUAUUCCAGAACAUUCGAUCAUUCUAGACAGCAAAGAAGUUAUCAACCAAUCAAGGAUUCAAGGGUCAAUUUUUAAAUUUACUAUUUUU
This is a long non-coding RNA of Heterocephalus glaber (naked mole-rat), 637 nucleotides long. NCBI's taxonomy places the organism in Eukaryota, Metazoa, Chordata, Mammalia, Rodentia, Bathyergidae. The record is from Ensembl.